RNAcentral lists this small RNA (2376 nucleotides) under Pongo abelii (Sumatran orangutan). RNAcentral's name for it is "retained intron". The record is from RNAcentral. Lineage: Eukaryota; Metazoa; Chordata; Mammalia; Primates; Hominidae.
UUUUUUUUUCCCCCAAGCGAAGCAUGAACAGUUGCUAAGUGGAAAAUGGAGGCUGAAUUUUACAUGGUGAUUCUUACCUGCUUGAUCUUCAGGAACUCAGAAGGGUUUCAGAUUGUCCAUGUCCAGAAACAACAGUGUCUUUUCAAAAAUGAGAAAGUGGUCGUGGGCUCAUGCAAUAGGACCAUCCAGAACCAGCAGUGGAUGUGGACUGAGGAUGAAAAGCUCCUUCAUGUUAAAUCUGCACUGUGCUUGGCCAUCUCCAACUCCUCUCGCGGCCCCUCCCGCUCAGCCAUCUUGGAUUGCUGUUCCCAGGCACCCCGAUGGACCUGCUAUGAUCAGGAAGGCUUCCUUGAGGUGGAAAAUGCCUCUCUCUUUCUCCAGAAACAAGGCUCCAGAGUAGUGGUCAAGAAGGCCAGGAAAUACUUCCAUAGCUGGAUGAAAAUAGAUGUCAACAAGGAGGGAAAACUGGUCAAUGAAAGCCUCUGUUUAAAAAAAGCUGGCCUGGGAGCAGAAGUUUCAGUGAGGAGCACUAGAAACAUGGCUCCACCCCAGAUUCCCACUACCUUUAAUGCAGUUCCAGAUAGCCUGGAACGCCUUAUUAGGAAUACCACAGAGGCCUUCAUCAGAAAUGCUGCAGAAAACUACAGCCAAAACAGCAGCGAGAGGCAGCAUCCCAAUCUGCACGUGACUGGAAUUACAGACACAUCAUGGGUUUUGUCGACUACUCAGCCCUUCUCCAGCACCACUGAAGAGACUGGACUGGCGGAGCCAGAGAGAUGUAACUUCACCCUGGCGGAGUCCAAGGCCUCCAGCCAUUCCGUGUCUAUCCAGUGGAGAAUUUUGGGCUCACCCUGUAACUUUAGCCUCAUCUAUAGCAGUGACACUCUGGGGGCCGCGUUGUGCCCUCCCUUUCGGAUAGACAACACCACAUACGGAUGUAACCUUCAAGAUUUACAAGCAGGAACCAUCUAUAACUUCAAGAUUAUUUCUCUGGAUGAAGAGAGAACUGUGGUCUUGCAAACAGAUCCUUUACCUCCUGCUAGGUUUGGAGUCAGUAAAGAGAAGACGACUUCAACCAGCUUGCAUGUUUGGUGGACUCCUUCUUCCGGAAAAGUCACCUCAUAUGAGGUGCAAUUAUUUGAUGAAAAUAACCAAAAGAUACAGAGGGUUCAAAUUCAAGAAAGUACUUCAUGGAAUGAAUACACUUUUUUCAAUCUCACUGCUGGUAGUAAAUACAAUAUUACCAUCACAGCUGUUUCUGGAGGAAAACGUUCUUCUUCAGUUUAUACCAAUGGAUCAACAGUGCCAUCUCCAGUGAAAGAUAUUGGUAUUUCCACAAAAGCCAAUUCUCUCCUGAUUUCCUGGUCCCAUGGUUCUGGGAAUGUGGAACGAUACCGGCUGAUGCUAAUGGAUAAAGGGAUCCUAGUUCAUGGUGGUGUUGUGGACAAACAUGCUACUUCCUAUGCUUUUCAUGGGCUGACCCCUGGCUACCUCUACAACCUCACUGUUGUGACUGAGGCCGCAGGGCUGCAAAACUACAGGUGGAAACUAGUCAGGACAGCCCCCAUGGAAGUCUCAAAUCUGAAGGUGACAAAUGAUGGCAGUUUGACCUCUCUAAAAGUCAAGUGGCAAAGACCUCCUGGAAAUGUGGAUUCUUACAAUAUCACCCUGUCUCACAAAGGGACCAUCAAGGAAUCCAGAGUAUUAGCACCUUGGGUUACUGAAACUCACUUUAAAGAGUUAGUCCCUGGACGACUUUAUCAAGUUACUGUCAGCUGUGUCUCUGGUGAACUGUCUGCUCAGAAGAUGGCAAUGGGCAGAACAUGUGAGUCUUGGGCUCCAGAAUGUUCCUUGGUUGCUCAAAUCACUCUCUGAUCCACCUUAAAAUAGGACAAAAUAAGUUAGCAGGAAAACUCCUUUCCCAAUCUGAGAAGCGGAGCCUAUGUAACUGAAGGUGUCUGGAGUAUGGCCCAUUCUUCUCAGUCACUUAGGCAACCGAGUUUGGAUUUCUGAAUGAUCUGCAUGUUGUUUCUGUCUUAUGCUUUUUCAUGUCACAUCACUUAAGUAGCAUAAAUGCAUUAGCAUUGAUACCAGUAUAUAAAACGUUUCUGAUUCAUUCUUACAGUGAGAACCAGUUAGCAUUUAACCAUGUUUUCCAUACAUUAUUUUAUUAAUUUAUGUCCUCAAACACUUAUCUAUCCAGUGCCUUAUAUGUAUAAAUUACUGUACUAUUGUUAAAACGAAUAAGACAUGCUACUUGCCUUUAAGGCAGGAUCCAGCAAACCACCCCAUCUGGUGCCAAAUCUGGUCUGUGGCCUGAUUUUGUUUAGCCCUCAAGCUAAGAGUGGUUUUUACAUGUUUAAAGGUUGUACAAAC